GAUGAACGCUAGCGGCAGGCUUAACACAUGCAAGUCGAGGGGCAACACGGGUAGCAAUACCUGGUGGCGACCGGCGCAAGGGUGCGUAACGCGUGAGCAACAUGCCCUAUACAGGGGGAUAAUCCAGGGAAACUUGGUCUAAUAUCCCAUAGUAUUUAGAGGUGGCAUCACCACUAAAUUAAAGCUUCGGUGGUAUAGGAUUGGCUCGCGUGACAUUAGCUGGAUGGUGGGGUAACGGCUCACCAUGGCGAUGAUGUCUAGGGGUUCUGAGAGGAAGACCCCCCACACUGGGACUGAGACACGGCCCAGACUCCUACGGGAGGCAGCAGUGAGGAAUAUUGGACAAUGGAUGGAAAUCUGAUCCAGCCAUGCCGCGUGCAGGAAGACGGCCCUAUGGGUUGUAAACUGCUUUUUAUAUGGGAGCAGUAAGGUUUACGCGUAGACCGAUGAGAGUACCAUAUGAAUAAGCAUCGGCUAACUCCGUG
This 485-nucleotide ribosomal RNA is filed under the name uncultured bacterium. RNAcentral describes it as "bacterial SSU rRNA". It matches the Rfam family "Bacterial small subunit ribosomal RNA", at positions 28 to 507 of the family's 1533-position model. The record is from RNAcentral.